UCCAGUGACUUUGCUGUAGGUGUAACACCCGUUCCCAUACCGAAUACGGCAGUUAAGCCCUACAAGGUCGAUGGUACUACGUUCACACGGGCGUGGGAGAGUAGAACGUCACUGGU
Molecule: ribosomal RNA, 116 nt
Filed under: uncultured bacterium
Lineage: Bacteria
Source: RNAcentral